RNAcentral lists this long non-coding RNA (297 nucleotides) under Mus musculus (house mouse). RNAcentral describes it as "long non-coding RNA chr8:56591761-56592058". Lineage: Eukaryota; Metazoa; Chordata; Mammalia; Rodentia; Muridae. The record is from RNAcentral.
UUUUUUGUUUCACUGUUUUCUAGUUUAGAAAUCUCAGAACUAACUAAUUUUACAGAACUUUUCUUAAUUUGCUCAUCAUGUUUGCACAAAACAGCCACUGUCUAACACAACUGUUAGAGAAUGUUAAACUGACAUAUGCUCUAUAAAUGGAGUGUUUGUGCAUUAGAUUGGUCUGGGAACUAUCCAUUUCCAUCCUUUUACAAAUACCAUGUAAUGUAUGCAUAUUUAACUGAAGAGAUUUAUAAUCAUAAUUAUUUUAUUGUAAAGAUUUUAACUAAAGGUUUUCCUUUUCUCUUG